UUCUUUCCAGCUGGAGAAGCGCUUUUUGGUUCGGAGUGCGUGUGUGUGUCUGUGUGUCUGUGUGUCUGUGUGUCUGUCUCUGUGUGUGUGUCUGUGGGGGGUUUGUAGGUGUUCCGGCUGGGGCUCCGAAUUUUCGUCUGCAGACUCUACUUUUUCUGAAGACCUACAUGAUUUCUUCCCCUAGAAGGUAGCUUGUUGCUUUCUGGCAUAUACUUAUCUAACUCCCACCCCCGAAGAUAAAUGUUUCAAAAUACUGAGAAGACAUUACCACAAAAAUCGCUGUGCUGUCGGGAGGACUGGAGGAUGUGAGGGCUAGGGAAAUUCUUAAAAAUACGGCAACUGACAUGAAUGUUAGUUUCUGUAAAUAUAUAUGUUAAAUACGUAUAUAAUACAGAGUUCUGUGUAAGCUAGUAACAGGGAAAAAUAAUAAGGGGUCUUUUUGACAGGACUUUUAUUUGCAUCUCUUCUCCCUCUCUCUCUUACACAUCUUUCUGUUUGUCUCCUCUAUAUUCUGCUUUUAUUACAAGAAGUUUGUUAAUACGACAUGUCAACGUUGCUGGUUUCAGACUGCAGCACUUUUUUACAAAACCAGACUGAAAAAAUUUCCUCAAACCUCCACUUAAUGGCACAACUGGCUACCACGGCCAAGAACAAAGGGACUGGGAGACCUAAGAAAAUCUCAACAUAGAGAAGGAAGAGAACAGACUCAAGAAGAAAUUACAUGGUCCACAUUCUUACCUCUGCAGGAUCAGCUUUCAGUCUUGUCUGUGCAUCAAUGCAUGUGCACACAGGCACACCACAUAUGUCCUUUGAACUGCCUCUCAGAAGAUAUUGCUUAAACAGCCAAUUGUGCCAACAUAUCAUAUCAGUAACUCGACUAGUGCCAGGAGGGAAGAGUGAAGGACCGAGACAGAGGGGUAUUAUCAACAUAUACAUUUGAUUCCCUAUAAACCAACCAGGAACAUCUUCUUCAGUAAGAAUAAUGAAAUGUCAUCAUGCUAAGAGAUUUGGACCAGCUCUAUAAAUUAAACAGUACGUGAUGACAGCCUUGAGGCGGCAUAUUCUGAAUCUUCUUUGAAGAAGGAACAGGAGGCUAUGAGAAGGAGAAUCUUUUCCCAGGCUAUGAGUCACACUAAGAUCAUUGUCUUCUUUCAUUCAAGAGAAAUUCAGCACUGGUUUCUGAAAUGGGAACAGAGGAAUCAAAUGUCUGUACGUCUCUCAAGGAGAAGGGGACUAUCCAGUCACUGCUUCACAAAAGACAUGUUGCCAUCCAUAUGUAGAAGCCAGUUGCUGGCCCUGAAGAUUUACUAAUGUGGAUGCUGUUCUCUUCAUUGUUCUCCCCUGGGCUGUGAUAUGACAGGAGUGCUGACAACUGCACUGAGUGUUAGCUGAGGAUGUUUUUAAAGGAAGGAAAAACUGGCAAUUGAAACACGGUCAUCAGAAUCCAAAAAUGUGAAGUGCAACGCAAUCUGCCUUAUGUAUAGAGGAAAAAGCACACAGAGCCAAGCACAGAUGACUGAACCAAAACAGACUAACAACACAGAGGAGAAAUCUAGCAGCCAGCUGUACUUGUCUGAGAACCUGGUAUUGAGGAAAUUUCGACCUGAACUUAGAGGCUGAGAUCUUUGAAGUGUACAUCUUCCACUGCAAAAAACUACUUUCCCUUGAAAAAUUAUGCAUUAUCAUCUCCAAUGCUGCUGCUGCAACAUAGAAGAUGGCUCUUGACUUGAUGGCAAAAGACAUUUCAGAGGAACACAGAAGAACGGAUCCACUCCAAAAAAAUCUAAGAUGAUGUAGUCUUGAAGAGACAGGAAAUUAUUUAGAUAAUAUAGCUAUUAUCUUGUAAGUAUUUUCAGUAAGAAUAAAACUCCUGGAUGGAAAGCAAUGAAAUGUAUUUCUUGUCUCCUUUAGCCCUGAUGGACAUUUGUUGGAGAAAAUCAGUAUUCUAAUGAUGGAGCUCAUCAUCCCUGCAGAAUUCAGUGACCAGAAGUACAUCAGUACAAACUGCUGGCCUUAGUCUGCCAGAAAGGAGAUUUUCUGAAGCCAAGAAAUCAGGCCUGGAUGAAUGAAUUUAUAUUCUCCAGUCAAAUCCCACACACAGAAUCCUGUUAAUGCCCUAUCAUCUUACAUCUUGGAACAAGAUAUCCAGAGUGGCUGGGGAAUCUCCAUCUUUGAAAAUUUUAACUCUGGACUAUAAAAUGUCCUAAACAUUCUGGCCUGAACUCAGUAUUGACCAUGUUUUGGGCUACAGGUUGUGCAAGAUGCCUUCCCAAGGUCCAUCCCAGACUGAAAGGUUUUGUGAUUUUACAGCUCUAGUAUCUGCACUAAAAGAAAGACAGACACAUAAGGGUAGUCCAGUAAUUAUCAGAGGAGUGUAGUUCCUGCCAGGAUUUCUACUUUUUAUAGGGCUGUUUUGCUGAUCCUGGCAAGACUGUGGACAAAAAAUAUUGCUAUAAAUAAAAAAAAUUGCUGUGAAUUAACACAAUCAAUCAAUCAAUUAAUCAGUUCCACAGUGAUGAAGAGUAGAAACAAAGAUGAGACAAUAUUUGUGCAAAAUAUAUGUGACAUGUAAAGAACAAAAAAUAUUCAAUCUUCUUACAUCUACCACAAUUUAUAAGUUUACCUAAUCAUAUAUCUGUGAUUGCAAUGCUUGUAAAAUAGCAGCGCUGAAAAUAGCUGGCCCCAGAGGGCUUCCUAGGCUAGUGAUGCCAAAGAAUUAAUUUUCACUGAGAUAUGAAAUUAAGGUUUUGUUCCUAGGUAAAAGGAGAAUAAAAUAAUGUAGUAGUAAAUCUGUAUGAAAGAAACCAGCAUCACAGCAAAGGUUUCUUCCUUAUGAAAAACAAAAUGAGCUAAAACUGUUAUAUCCACUAGUUCCUUGACACAUAAUACACUGUGCAUAUGGUGAAAUGUCAAAGUGCUCUUCCAGACCCACAAAAGAAACAAAGGUACAGAAAAUCCACUUACAACAACAGUAAUACUUUCAGAGGGUUGGUGCUAAUUCUGUCACUCUGUUCAGAGAAAUGUAUCAGCAUUCAGCCACAUUUUCCUUUGAGUUACCAGACAGUUCUUCUAACAGAGAAAAAAUUUAUCUUUGAAUUAAUAGCAUAGUUGUUCUCUUUGCUUAUUUCUCUGAGAUCAGGUUGCAUCAGAAGCUCUAAUUGUUAUAACAUACCUGCUCUGAUAAUAAACAAAACAAGUUAAGGACAGAAAGAAAAUAGAAUUGUGGUCAUGUUAGAAGUGGUCAUGUUAGAAGGCUUGUUGCAUGCUUUCUCUGAGCGCUUGAAAGGCUUUCACAGAUGUAUCACCUUUGGAAUGCUGGAUCUUCUGACCCUACCACUAUAAAAAAAUACUCUCUAUGCAGCUGAGUGAUAAUAGAGAAUUUUGUUAAUGAAUACAAGGUACCAUUUUACUUUUAGGGUCAUGUAAUUUAUUUAUUUCUAGGGAACUUUUUAUUUGAACCCAUAGUCUGCACUUAAUUGUCACUUUGCUAAAGCUAGGAAGAGUAGUAUAUCUACAAGCUGAUAUACUUUGUUUCCAGCAGUCUGAAGCAUACCUUGUUCAUGUACCUAUGAGCUAAGCUUUAUAUUUCUAAAAUCAAUGCUUACUUCUUUGAGAUGCUUUUGACAUUGCUAUGAAGAAUUGCUGAUCUGAAAACACACUGAGAACUGUCUGGUAGGUGAAUGUUAAUUUUGAAAAAUUCUAAGUGCAAAUUUUUGCCUUUAUUGCCACAACAUCUUUAUUUGAUGUUUUCAGAUGCAUAAUAUGGUACACUUUCAUAAAAGAGAAUUUAAUUCUGUAUCAUUGAAUUGUAGAAUAUUAGAAUAAAUAACAGAUCCUUUAGAUCUUACCUGUGAAGAUCAUAUCUCUCUAACUUGGUUAGAUACAUUUUUUCCACUUUUGAUGAUAAUGAUUUUAUGUGAAAAUCAUUCAUUAUGGGAAAAUCUUCCAUUGUUUUCUGACGUUUUUAUAUCAACAUUGAUCAGAUUAUUUGAAAAAUAGAACCUAGUUUGCUUAGAAAUAGUGGGGUGAAAGAUUCACAAGGACUGUUACUGUGAUAUUUUUUCUAUGACUGUUGUAGUUCAGUCAUGUACCCCAGCACCUUACUGCAUGCUAGAAAGCCAUUAAUUUCAUAAACUGUCUUUUCAAAACAGUCUUUGCUGCCUUUUGUUUAUUAACUAUGGCACAUGCUUUGCCUGCACUUGGCCCAUCCACCUCAAAGAAACUCUGUCUUAAGUCAGAAGAAAGACAGAGGAGCUAAGCCACUUGUUAUGGUGUCUCAGUUUUCCCAGCAUCUGAAUUUGCUGUAUUUAAGUCAAGGAAUGCUUGCUGGUAACCAUUAUUCUGUUACCUUGAAUUGUGGUUGACAAAGCAAAACCUGAGCACGUACAACUACCCAUUUGUCAUAUUCAGAAUGAUACCUUAACAUUUAGCUUUCAUGUUUUCCAGACUCUGUACUGCAUUAGUGCGUAACUCUGAACUUCAUAUAAAGUGCUGGCAAGUUCUCUUCACAUUUUAGUUGGACAAAAUAAUCUUUUUCCAGCUUGAGAACCAAGGACACCAUUGCAGCUUCAGGGCCAAAAAGUAUAAAGAGCAAACUGAGGAGAACAAUCUAGGAGGACAGGAUUUCAUAACCUGAAGCUGUAAUUGGACAAUUAACCCCAAUAUGGAAAUGGAUUAAACUUAUACAAGUGUGAAAACUCAUAGCAUUUCAUCCAUCUUAGGUGUUUCAUCGGCCAGGCUCUUGUACUGCUCAAAGUGUAGCCUUUUUAAUAAACACCUACUUUAUUCCUUUAAAACUGCCUAGCCUCUGUUCUAGGUAGCCUCUCAAGGCAUUAAGAAGAUAUUUUUUAGAAAAUAAAUGAGUGAAUGUAAAGGGUUAUUGCAUAUAAAGUAAACAAAGAUUAGAUCAGAAGGUCUGUUUUAACAUCAGCCUGCUAACAACGUUUUUCAUGUUUUAACAAAGAAGAGCAUCCUAACCAAAGAUAUUCUUAAAACCAAACUUUUUGCUUGGUUUUUAGGAGACCUAAGACCCAUUGAAUCUUUCUUUCUGAAUUUCUAUUGAAAUUCACUGUUUUAUUUGGAGUCUGUUUUUUAAUUAGCAUAAGGCUUUUUUCUUCCUUUAUUAAUGAAAAUUGUUUUCUUCCCAGCACACCCCUACAUGUACUUCAGCAGUUAUUACUUUUGUUUAUACAGAGUGUAAGGCUUCCCACUAUCUGUAGUGUCAAUUUGACAUUCUUCAGUCUAGCAUGUGGCUGUUGUGAACCCACUACAAAAAUCUGUACAGUAAAGUAAAGCAUAAUUCAACCUGCUAAACAAGCUUAUUUGAUAUAGUUUGUGAUUUGUUGCUGACUGAGAUCCUACCUGUUGACAGACAAAUAUUUUGGAUGACAACUCAAAUGGCAUGGUUUUCACCCAAACUAUUUUUUAAAUAUCCAACUUUAUUCUGCUAGAAUGUAAAGGUACACUAAGGAGAAAUACAUCUGGACCCUGGUUUUUCAAACACAGUAAUUGACUUAGGGUUUUUACUAACCUGUUAUUAAUGUCUUCACACCGGCAGACUCUUCAGCUGCAGGCACCAAAGUACAACAAUUUGUUAUCUAAGAAGUAAAUUAGGAAGUUUGAUUCUUUAGACAUUAUCUGGAGUAAAUAGAUGCACAACAGGAAAGAUCACUAAGGGCCACAUUGCUGUAAAACUACAUCCUUAUGGAAUAAAGGGCACUUAGAGUCUACAAAAGUAUCAACAUCUGGUGCGCAACAUGAAGUGGAAGAGGUGGAUCAUUUGGCUUUGCAUUGUGAACUGCCCUGGCAGCCUUUGGAAAAAUAAUAGAGAUGUUACUAAAAUGACUUGUGGCAAGGGGCCAAAUGGUGAUAUUUUUCACACAGCUGGACCUACCACUUAACCCAAUGAAGUUCUCAUGAAUUUCAGUACGGGGCAUGAAUCUAUCUAUUUAUUAUAUCUCCAUUUUAAUAAACUGUCUGACCUUGUACUUUCUAAGCUUUGAAUAAAAUCUAUUUGAUUCACUGAAAAGCUAAGCUUGCUACAGACAUCUUGUGAAGUUUGGUAUUAUUUUCAAUGCUGUCUUCAUUUUGCCUCAUAUAAUGGUCCUAUUCUUCACCAUUCAUGAAUUAUGUAGGUCAGUACAUACACAUGCCAGGAAAACCUUUCUAGCACCCCAUACAAUCAUAUAUUUUGUAUAUGUAAUGACAUAGUUAUUGUGAUUCUUUUAGAAAUAUUUCAGGGAAAUGCUAGAAUGUUAAAAUGACUAUUUUUGUUUGUCUCCUUCUCUAUUGUCAAGUGAAUUAGUUCUCGUGAAUGCCACUGUGCAUAGAUAGAGAAGGAAUAAAUUAAAAUACAGGGAAAGGUGUGAAACUAGAUGCUUGGCCAAAAGCAGCUUUGCUAUACAUGAAACAUGUUGCUGUGUUUUGGUUAUGGUUUGGUUUUGCAGGUUUAUGGGUUUGUACAUUCAAGGCUAGGAAUUAUUGUUCAUUGUAAAGAUAUAAAUGGAAAAGUUAUUAGAAAUCUUCCUGUGCAAUGAUAAAUAA
Non-coding RNA from Zonotrichia albicollis (white-throated sparrow), 6543 nucleotides. NCBI's taxonomy places the organism in Eukaryota, Metazoa, Chordata, Aves, Passeriformes, Passerellidae. The record is from RefSeq and is a predicted model, not a curated record.